AGUGAACGCUGGCGAUAGGCCUAACACAUGCAAGUCGAACGGCAGCACAGUAAGAGCUUGCUCUUACGGGUGGCGAGUGGCGGACGGGUGAGGAAUACAUCGGAAUCUACUUUUUCGUGGGGGAUAACGUAGGGAAACUUACGCUAAUACCGCAUACGACCUACGGGUGAAAGCAGGGGAUCUUCGGACCUUGCGCGAUUGAAUGAGCCGAUGUCGGAUUAGCUAGUUGGCGGGGUAAAGGCCCACCAAGGCGACGGUCCGUAGCUGGUCUGAGAGGAUGAUCAGCCACACUGGAACUGAGACACGGUCCAGACUCCUACGGGAGGCAGCAGUGGGGAAUAUUGGACAAUGGGCGCAAGCCUGAUCCAGCCAUACCGCGUGGGUGAAGAAGGCCUUCGGGUUGUAAAGCCCUUUUGUUGGGAAAGAAAAGCAGCAGGUUAAUACCCCGCUGUUCUGACGGUACCCAAAGAAUAAGCACCGGCUAACUUCGUG
This 492-nucleotide ribosomal RNA is filed under the name uncultured bacterium. Its description in RNAcentral is "partial 16S ribosomal RNA". It matches the Rfam family "Bacterial small subunit ribosomal RNA", at positions 29 to 507 of the family's 1533-position model. The record is from RNAcentral.